This 682-nucleotide ribosomal RNA is filed under the name Heterosigma akashiwo. RNAcentral describes it as "eukaryotic LSU rRNA". It matches the Rfam family "Eukaryotic large subunit ribosomal RNA", at positions 42 to 656 of the family's 3401-position model. Lineage: Eukaryota; Raphidophyceae; Chattonellales; Chattonellaceae. The record is from RNAcentral.
AUAAUUAAGGGGAGGAAAAGAAACCAACUCGGAUUCCCCUAGUAACGGCGAGUGAAGCGGGAAGAGCUCAUGUUGUAAAUCUCCAGCUUGCUGGCGAAUUGUAGUCUAAAGGUGCGUGCUCAGUCGUGGUCCCGGGCUAAGUCUGUUGGAAAACAGCAUCAUGGACGGUGACAAUCCGGUUCUUGCCUGGGGUCCCGCGGCGUACGAGCCGUUUCCGACGAGUCGUGUUGCUUGGGAUUGCAGCACUAAGUGGGUGGUAAAUUCCAUCUAAAGCUAAAUAUUGGUGGGAGACCGAUAGCGAACAAGUACCGUGAGGGAAAGAUGAAAAGACUUUUGAAAAGAGAGUAAAAUAGUACCUGAAACUGCUGAAAGGGAAGCGAUUGAAGUCAGUGUUGCUCCUGGUCUUUUUGCCGUCGCCCCCGUGGGGGUUGCGGCGUGGGGCCUGGAGCGUUUCAACAUGCGUUCUGUUCCGCGGGAAAUGUUCAGUGUGCUGGAACCUUCGGGGAAACGCACUGUUCUUGUCGUGGUUAGGACGGAGGACCUUUGCUCCUUUGACUGCGCGUUCCUCUCUCGGGUAUGCUGGUGUCUACUGCUUGCAGUUUUCAUUUUCAUGCUUGCGACUGUGCGUGUUAUUCAUGAGCGAACAUGAUGUUGAAGAAAUGGCUUUAAUUACCCCGUCUUG